Molecule: ribosomal RNA, 418 nt
Filed under: Trichoderma sp. BAB-3194
Lineage: Eukaryota; Fungi; Ascomycota; Sordariomycetes; Hypocreales; Hypocreaceae
Description: eukaryotic LSU rRNA
Rfam family: 5.8S ribosomal RNA (bases 24-138)
Source: RNAcentral
AUGCGAUACUUGGUGUGAAUUGCAGAAUUCAGUGAAAUGCGAUACUUGGUGUGAAUUGCAGAAUUCAGUGAAUCAUCGCAGUAUCUUUGAACGCACUUGCGCCCGCCAGUAUUCUGCGGGCAUGCCUGUCCGAGGUCAUUUCAACCCUCGAACCCCUCCGGGGGGUCGGCGUUGGGGAUCGGGAACCCCUCAGACGGGAUCCCGGCCCCGAAAUACAGUGGCGGUCUCGCCGCAGCCUCUCCUGCGCAGUAGUUUGCACAACUCGCACCGGGAGCGCGGUCGCGUCCACGUCCGUAAAACACCCAACUUUCUGAAAUGUUGACCUCGGAUCAGGUAGGAAUAACCCUUCUGAACUUAAGCAUAUCAAUAAGCGGAGGAAACUACCCGCUGAACUUAAGCAUAUCAAUAAGCGGAGGAA